CAGGAAUUGAACCCGAGUAACUUACGUCUCCUGCACUGGCAUUGAAAGGCAGAGGACAUGAUUCCAAGAGCAAAGAAUCAACCCCUCAAGUACCCAUCAGUGCUGCAACAUACCUGAUCACUCAGAGUUGGGAAUAAAUCCACCUUCAAAAAUCUGAAUGCCACCACAGGCAUAACUGAAGCCACUGUUGUUAAGAGAAUAACAAGCCAGAUGCACUUCUGGGUCAAGGAAUGUCGUGCAUUUCC
Long non-coding RNA from Cervus elaphus (red deer), 245 nucleotides. RefSeq lists it as uncharacterized. The record is from RefSeq and is a predicted model, not a curated record. The transcript has 2 exons. NCBI's taxonomy places the organism in Eukaryota, Metazoa, Chordata, Mammalia, Artiodactyla, Cervidae.